RNAcentral lists this transfer RNA (45 nucleotides) under Tylos sp. clade I MM-2013. RNAcentral's name for it is "partial tRNA-Ser". The record is from RNAcentral. Lineage: Eukaryota; Metazoa; Arthropoda; Malacostraca; Isopoda; Tylidae.
AGUCAUUUAGCUAUAUAAGUAAGCGUUUUGAAAGCGUUAGAAAGG